GAUGAACGCUGGCGGCGUGCCUAAUACAUGCAAGUCGAGCGAACGGACGAGAAGCUUGCUUCUCUGAUGUUAGCGGCGGACGGGUGAGUAACACGUGGAUAACCUACCUAUAAGACUGGGAUAACUUCGGGAAACCGGAGCUAAUACCGGAUAAUAUUUUGAACCGCAUGGUUCAAAAGUGAAAGACGGUCUUGCUGUCACGUAUAGAUGGAUCAGCGCUGCAUUAGCUAGUUGGUAAGGUAAAGGCUUACCAAGGCAACGAGGCAUAGACGACCUGAGAGGGUGAUCGGCCACACUGGAACUGAGACACGGUCCAGACUCCUACGGGAGGCAGCAGUAGGGAAUCUUCCGCAAUGGGCGAAAGCCUGACGGAGCAACGCCGCGUGAGUGAUGAAGGUCUUCGGAUCAUAAAACUCUGUUAUUAGGGAAGAACAUAUGUGUAAGUAACUGUGCACAUCUUGACGGUACCUAAUCAGAAAGCCACGGCUAACUACGUG
This 497-nucleotide ribosomal RNA is filed under the name uncultured bacterium. RNAcentral's name for it is "partial 16S ribosomal RNA". It matches the Rfam family "Bacterial small subunit ribosomal RNA", at positions 28 to 507 of the family's 1533-position model. The record is from RNAcentral.